GAUAUAGUACAGUGGUAGUGCAACUGCUUGCAACUCAGUCAGAAGGUUCCAGGAUCAAUUCCAGGUGGGUCA
Non-coding RNA from Phthorimaea operculella (potato tuberworm), 72 nucleotides. The record is from the annotation of a GenBank genome assembly. NCBI's taxonomy places the organism in Eukaryota, Metazoa, Arthropoda, Insecta, Lepidoptera, Gelechiidae.